Molecule: ribosomal RNA, 407 nt
Filed under: uncultured bacterium
Lineage: Bacteria
Description: partial 16S ribosomal RNA
Rfam family: Bacterial small subunit ribosomal RNA
Source: RNAcentral
AUUGAACGCUGGCGGCAGGCCUAACACAUGCAAGUCGAGCGGAGCGGCGGACGGGUGAGUAAUGUCUGGGAAACUUCGUGAUGUAGGGGGAUAACUACUGGAACCGGUAGCUAAUACCGCAUACUAUCAGAUGAGGCUAGGUCGGAUUAGCUAGUUGGUGGGGUAACGGGAUACCAAGGCGAAGAUCCGUAACUGGUCGGAGAGGAUGAUGAGUCACAAGGGAAAUGAGACACGGUCAAGACUCCGACGGGAGGCAGCAGUGGGGAAUAUUGGACAAUGGGCGAAAGCCUGAUCCAGCCAUGCCGCGUGUGUGAAGAAGGUCUUCGGAUUGUAAAGCACUUUAAGUUGGGAGGCGUUACCAACAGAAUAAGCACCGGCUAACUUCGUGCCAGCAGCCGCGGUAAUUC